Molecule: small RNA, 127 nt
Filed under: Marmota monax (woodchuck)
Lineage: Eukaryota; Metazoa; Chordata; Mammalia; Rodentia; Sciuridae
Source: RNAcentral
GCCAGGCAUGGUGGCGCACACCUGUGAUCCCAGCAUCUCCGGAGGCUGAGGCAGCAGGAUCACAAGUUCAAAGCCAGCCUCAGCAACGCAAAGAGGCCCUAAGCAACUCAGUGAGAUCCUGUCUCUA